GAGUUUGAUCCUGGCUCCAGAUUGAACGCUGGCGGCAUGCCUUACACAUGCAAGUCGAACGGCAGCACGGGAGCUUGCUCCUGGUGGCGAGUGGCGAACGGGUGAGUAAUGCAUCGGAACGUAUCCUGGAGUGGGGGAUAACGUAGCGAAGGUUACGCUAAUACCGCAUAUUCUGUGAGCAGGAAAGCGGGGGACCUUCGGGCCUCGCGCUUUUGGAGCGGCCGAUGUCGGAUUAGCUAGUUGGUGAGGUAAAGGCUCACCAAGGCGACGAUCCGUAGCAGGUCUGAGAGGAUGAUCUGCCACACUGGAACUGAGACACGGUCCAGACUCCUACGGGAGGCAGCAGUGGGGAAUUUUGGACAAUGGGGGCAACCCUGAUCCAGCCAUGCCGCGUGAGUGAAGAAGGCC
This 408-nucleotide ribosomal RNA is filed under the name bacterium enrichment culture clone ALO1_GLFRUDD03G3XS5. Its description in RNAcentral is "bacterial SSU rRNA". It matches the Rfam family "Bacterial small subunit ribosomal RNA", at positions 9 to 416 of the family's 1533-position model. The record is from RNAcentral.